UUUCCGUAGGUGAACCUGCGGAAGGAUCAUUCAUAAUAAAGUGUUAUGGCACUUUUUAAAAAUCCAUAUCCACCUUGUGUGCAAUGUUAGAUCUCGUCAAUCUUGGCGAGAUUUUUAUACAUCAACUCAUUCUUUAACUAAUUUGUCUGAAAAAUAUUAUGAAUACUUAAUUCAAAAUACAACUUUCAACAACGGAUCUCUUGGCUCUC
RNAcentral lists this unclassified non-coding RNA (209 nucleotides) under plant metagenome. RNAcentral describes it as "partial contains small subunit ribosomal RNA, internal transcribed spacer 1, and 5.8S ribosomal RNA". The record is from RNAcentral.